This 4531-nucleotide long non-coding RNA is filed under the name Canis lupus familiaris (dog). Its description in RNAcentral is "lncRNA (ENSCAFG00845028269.1)". Lineage: Eukaryota; Metazoa; Chordata; Mammalia; Carnivora; Canidae. The record is from RNAcentral.
UCUUAUAGGAAACAAGUAAGAUUUUUAAAUGCUUUGGUGAUGUGAUCAGUAGACAGUAGUGGGAAAGAAUUUCCCUGAAACUUGACUUGCAAUCAAAAUAAGGAAGGAAGAUCUAAAAGAACAGAGAAUAUUUCAGCUAAUCAGGAUAUGGCACUUUCCGACAUCUGGAUGUCCAAACAAGUGUUUUGAAUUCAACACUAUUAACAUGUGUCACUUUAAUGAAUAUUUUCCUUUGGAGUCGAUUGGGUGGUUACAUUUUUGGCAAUGAUCUCGUGGUCUGUUGCCUACAUUACCUGACCCACGGUCCAUUUUCCUUGUGUUGGCUGUGGGAAAGAAAAAAAAAAGUGGAAAAUAUCUCAGAACCUGGAAAACAGUACUGAGAACGUGACUCAUCUUUUAAUUGAACUACUUCAAAUAGAAGCUCUCUAAGGAUUGUCUUCUCACUGUCUGUGACAUCAUGUGUAACAAAAGAGCAUGUGAUGGCUAAUAUUUAAAUGACAUGAUGUGUUUUUCAUGAUGGAGCUGUGGUUUCCACAAGGAUAACGUCAAGCGUGUGAUGUUAGCAUAUUCUGAACAGUUUGGUGAUCUAUCCCAGACCUUAGCCAAUUGCUGCUCCUCCCGUUUGAAGGAAACUUCGGCUGUACCUGUUCUUUCAUCUCCUGUGUGGAAAAAUGUCUAUCGACUUGAAGCCCUAGGAGUCUUAAUUUUCAAGGAUUUUAGUUGUAAGCCGUUCAAGGCAUGAGCUAAGGUUUCAGGCAAAGGUAACCUUAGUAGUUGAGCCUGAUUUCUGCUCCCGCCUCCACCCUCUAGGGCGCCCUGGGUUGCUCGCUGUGAGGGGGUCCCCUCCUUAGCUAAGAUGUAAACUUACGUUCCGUGGUAUCUGAUAAAGGUUGCUGGAGACUGACACUUAAAGGAGAAAAAAAAAAAAAAGAAAGAAAGAAAAGGAGAAACUGAAUCCAAAGGCUUACAAAAGGAUUAGAAAAGUACACUCCAGAUGGAAAAUUUUAUGGGAGCUGGAGAAAAUGUAUAAGUGAAAUAUCAGUAUCAUAAAAUAACAGGAAAUAGUGUAAUCUACCUGAUGGAGAAAAUUGUCACUUUAAAAAAACUAUCCUAAUUUCCUUCAAAAUUGUUCUUGUUUUUGAGCCAAUAAACCGCAGUUCAGCUGACCACGGGGCCUUUCUUCUGCCAAAUUCAUAUUUGCCAACAGAACCUCUGCGUGUUUACAAUUGAAACUUUUCCAUUCUAUUUUUUUUCUCUAAUUAAAAUAAAGCCACCCAGGGGCGGACAGAAAUCAUGCAAUAAAGGAAGAAAAUUGCUAAUGAACUGGGUGAAUUAUGAUGCAGAAAUGGAGAGAAAAAUCAGAGUGAGUGUUAGAGCAAUGGACUCAAAGCAAAGUUGGGGUCAACCAGAAAAAAUGUAUGAGGAGGAAAUCCUGUGUUUUCCUUUUAUAAGUAAAAAUAAUAAUAUAAUUUGUCUUAAGUAUGUGCAUGGUACAAGAUAAAUCAGCAGAUGAAUGCCUAAGGUAAUUAUUCUGGGGAAAUAUGAUAUUGAUGUAAUUUUUGACUUGGUUCCCCCGCCCCCAAACCUCUAGGAUGGAUUACAUGACUUAGUAUAUGCUAUUGCUCAGCAAAGAGGAAAUCUUUGUUCUGUUGUUUAAACAGGGCAUUAUCAGGAUAAAUUUCCUGUUAUCUCUGCAUAUUAUUUUGAUUGAGAUAAUUAUGGCAUUUCCAAAGGUAAUAGUUUGAACUGGUUUCAUAACCCAGGAUCCACAUUCACACACACAUGCACACACACACACAUGCAUGUGUGCCCACAGGUGCACUCGUGCACGCCCACACGCGUACACACACACCACCUAUUCAACAGCAUGAAGGUUGGCCAGAUAUUGUGCUAGGCACAGUGGAAAAUAAGAAGACAAACUAGAGCUUGAAGAUCUAAGUGCAAAUGAAAAUGUGCUUCCAGGAAGAAAGGGAUAAAUGUCACAAGAGAUGGGUGGAUAAAACAUUAUGGAAGUUUAAAGGAUGGAGGAUAAUUUAGGGAUGGAAUGGAGUCCAGGACACCCUUCCUAGCAGGGUAGCAUUUGCAAUGAUUUUUUUAAGGUUUGCUCGGAUUCAGGCAUGAUCCUGACUAGGUUCGUGGGAGUCUUAAACAGAGCUCCGCACAGUUAUUUGUUAAUUUACUCAUUUGACAGACGUUUAUUGCGCUGCAGAUGUUCUAGGUUUUGAGGAUAGAGCAGUGACCCAAACAGUCAAAUAUCCCCCAUGGAGCUGUUAUUCUGGCAGGAGGGUGGUGGUGGCAGUGGUUUUUGAACAUUUUAUUUUCUUUGAACAUUUGUUGCCUUUGAACUACUGGUAUUUGCUGCAAGUUGAGAAAACUUGUUUUCCUAACUAAUCAGUUUGUGCCUAUUGGAAGAUUUUAGACAGGUGGCAGGAAAGACAUUGGCGCAAAGGUUACACAGGCGUACAUAAUACUUCAAACACAAAUUAUAGACUUGUUUUGCAUUUCCUAAAGAAGUCAUUUGAAACUGCAUAUAGAUUAUGCACAGUUUGGCAAGAAGUGGGAGAGAAAAGCAGGUAAUAGUCGUUCAGAGAACUUUGCAACUACCAGAGGUAAAGGAUAAGGAUAAAAGGAAUAGGAAAGAAGUGGCCUACAUCGUUUAUAGGGAAGGAUGUAGAGCAAGAGGAAUAUGAAAUGCACAAAAUUAGUUCAGGAAGCAGAGAUUUAGAUUUGGAAGAAAAAUGUUCCUCGUGGCCACUUUAUGAUGAAUGUAUAAGAAUUCGUCUCUUUCUACUUUGAAAAUAAUGUUCAUGUUCUUUGUUUUACACGACCCUUGAAUCAACCCAGGAGGAAGAUCAACAAUGGAAUAAAAGACAGCUGGAAACAGCUCCUAUGUAAUACCCAAAGCUAGGACUUCCCCACGAAUGUACCACAAACAGACUAAUUCCACCUACUGGAAAAUGGGAAAAUGGAUAAACAUAUCAUUCGAGGGUCUAUCAUCACUAGAACACAGCUGAUCGGUAUUUAAAUAAUUGCGUUUUUAAUGUACAGAACAAACAAGAUUUCUUUUUUUAAAUUGAAAUGUAUUGACAUAUAACCUUGAGUAAAUUUAAGGUACACAACAUGUUAAUUUGAUACAUUUAUAUAUUGUAUUAUGAUUGUCAUUGUAGCAAUAAUUAGCACCUCUGUCCGAUUUCAUAAUUAUCCUUUCCUUUAAAAGUCGUUGGAAUAAUUAAGUUCUAGUCUCUAAGCAAGUUUCAUGAUUAUAAUACCAUAUUGUUAUCCGUAUUUACUAUAUUUUGCACUAUAUCUCUAGGGUUUAUUUACUGCUUGUAAGUUUGUCCUCUUAAACAACAUCUGUCUUAUUUCCCCAUCCUCUAUCCCCUACUAACCACCCUUUUAUUGUCUGUUUUUAUAAGUGUGGUUUCUUAAAAUUCCACAUAUAAGUGAUAUCAUCAAGUGCUUGUCUUUAUGCAACUUAUUUCACUUAGCAGAGUGUGCCCAAGGUCCAUUCAUGUUGUUUCAAGGAGCAGGAUGUACUCCUUUCUCAUGUCUGAAUAAUAUUCAAGUGUGUUCACUCACUUCAUGGGGGAGAAAUUUCUAGUAAGUUUGCCAGGAGAAUCACACCUGAGAGUAGUCCAUGGAGAAGAUGACGCAGAGAGGAAAUCUGUGCUGAGUUCCCUCUGGUCUCUUGUCUCCCAUUAGUCAAGAGUCAACCUCUGGGAGUUAAUUUCCCUGAAGUUCUAGGUUGUGAUUUCCGCCUCUUUACAACUCCUCAGGAAGCCAGACCCCAUGCUCCAUAACAUUCCAACCAAGUUGAGAAGGGAAGAGGCAGCUUGGCACACUGACUAAGAAAGGAGGGGCACCUGGGUAGCUCAGUGGUUGAGCGUCUGCCUUUGGCUCGGGUUGUGAUCCAGGGAUCCUGGGGUCAAGUCUCACAUCAAGCUCCCUGCAUGGAGCCUGCUUCUCCCUCUGCCUAUGUCUGUGUCUCUGACUCUCUCUCUCUGUUUCUCAUGAAUAAAUAAAUAAAAUCUUUUAAAAAAUGGAGACAGUAGAGAAGCUCUGAGAAAUUAUAUAAAUUUUGCAUUCAAUACACCACCCAAAGGUUGGACAACAAAUUUCCAUCUCCAUGCAUAUGUCCCUCCUGUUUGAUCUCCUGGCUCUCACGGUACCCCUCACUCUACUAGUAAUUAGGUCAUGCCAGUGAAGCACUUUACCUAUACUUUUGCCAUUAGGUGAAUUAUUUAUAUAUGUUCUUGUUUCCCCUAAAUAGAUCUUCAUGAGCUUGACAGGAAUGAAGUUUCAUUUUUUUCAUUCUCUUUAGCACUUAGCAGAAGUCCUUGACACACAGCUUUCCUUCGAAAAUACCAAGAAAGAAGGGUAGAUGGGGGGAAAAAAAAGAAAGCAGAGUCAGAUUGAGUGACUGAAAAUAUUACUAUUUCACUUACCUUUCUUUCUGCUGAAUGUGUAACAAUAUCAACUUUGUUGGUAGUAACUGGGUACUUUAUAAACCGGGGUUCCCAGUGGGGUGGGC